Molecule: ribosomal RNA, 735 nt
Filed under: uncultured Alphaproteobacteria bacterium
Lineage: Bacteria; Pseudomonadati; Pseudomonadota; Alphaproteobacteria
Description: bacterial SSU rRNA
Rfam family: Bacterial small subunit ribosomal RNA
Source: RNAcentral
AGUGGCAAACGGGUGAGUAUAAUGUGGGAAUCUGCCUUUUGGUUUGGAAUAACACGGGGAAACUUGUGCUAAUACCGGAUAAGCCCUUACGGGGAAAGUUUUAACGCCGAAAGAUGAGCCUGCACUUGAUUAGCUAGUUGGUAAGGUAAAGGCUUACCAAGGCAACGAUCAAUAGCUGUUCUUAGAGGAAGACCAGCCACAUUGGGACUGAGACACGGCCCAGACUCCUACGGGAGGCAGCAGUGGGGAAUCUUGCACAAUGGGGGAAACCCUGAUGCAGCGAUGCCGCGUGAGUGAAGAAGGCCCUUGGGUUGUAAAACUCUUUCGUCGGGGAAGAAAAUGACUGUACCCGAAUAAGAAGGUCCGGCUAACUUCGUGCCAGCAACCGCGGUAAUACGAAGGGACCUAGCGUAGUUCGGAAUUACUGGGCUUAAAGAGCUCGUAGGUGGUUAAAAAAGUUGAUGGUGAAAUCCCAAGGCUCAACCUUGGAACUGCCAUCAAAACUUUUUAGCUAGAGUGUGAUAGAGGUAAGUGGAAUUUCUAGUGUAGAGGUGAAAUUCGUAGAUAUUAGAAAGAACACCAAAUGCGAAGGCAACUUACUGGGUCACUACUGACACUGAGGAGCGAAAGCAUGGGUAGCGAAGAGGAUUAGAUACCCUCGUAGUCCAUGCCGUAAACGAUGUGUGCUAGACGUUGGAAAUAUAUUUUUCAGUGUCGCAGCGAAAGCAUAAGCAC